Vespula pensylvanica (western yellowjacket) is the source of this 2273-nucleotide long non-coding RNA. RefSeq lists it as uncharacterized. The record is from RefSeq and is a predicted model, not a curated record. Lineage: Eukaryota; Metazoa; Arthropoda; Insecta; Hymenoptera; Vespidae. The transcript is spliced from 6 exons.
UCUACGUUAAUUAUCAUAAUCUCAUAAUAAAAUUUACAUUAUUUUAACGAAAUAAAAAACUCCGAGCUAUCGUUUAAAAUUAAAAUCAAACAUCCUAUCUAAAACAUCCAAUCGCAAAUUAUUCAUACGAUUAAUUUAAUUCGAUAUAUCCCAAAAAAUAAAAUUGAUCGGCGAGAAUAGGUUUAGGGCGGAGAUCGAAAGUUUCGACGACAUAUUUUCUCGCGACAUUGUCAAGAGAAUUCGACGGUAUGUAUUGAUACACGUGUGCGCGCGCGCGCGGCAUUCUCGUCGGGUCGCGAGAAAUGUAACCGCGUCUCGUCCAUGUACGCAUAUACACACACAUAUGUAGAAGAACGCAGUAGAAAGAAACCAAGAGCAGAUAGGAUCACACAGAGCGUGGUGGGUCGUUAAAGCCGGCUCAGCGCGCGUUUUCUGGUUUGUAGUUGGAAUAUAAGAACUACUAUCGGCGGCCACGUUGCCGACGGUGGCUCCAUUAUCGGUGAAUUUCGGUACUCGUACGAAUACUCGAGUAAUCUGGCGGGUACUCCGACGCCGAUCGAUUUGCACAGUGUUCUUCUACCUCUCUUGCGACUAGGUGCCAUUUCGUAACGCCCGUAAAUACACGUCGAGUCUCUUUUUCGACGAUUGUCAAGCUCGAUUUCAUCAUCAUACCUUCCUAUUUUUUCUUUUUCCGUUUUUUUAUUUUCUUUUGAUAAAAAGACAAUUAAUCCUGGUCCGGCGAAUUCAAUCUCAAAGCGUCCCGUUUCUUUUUCGCUUCUCUUUUUUAGUUUUUUUAUCCUCGUGCGUGAUCUUCCAUGUUUACAACAUGCUUUCCUCGAACGUCACAACGAUGUGUUUUAAGUGUUUUCCAAGUGUAUACUUUUUUCUUUCCCUUUUUUUUGGUAACUCAUUAUACGAAGGAAAUUGAAUAAACUGAAGCGAAUAAAAUGGUCCCCCGAUUUGUGAAGGAGAGUAAGAGAGAUAGAGAAAGAGAGUGAGAGAGAGACAGAGAGAAAAGAGGGAAGAAAAUGGACAGAGGAGCAAAGGAACGAAAAGCAACGAACGAACGAGAGACGGACGGAUACACGAUGAAAAGAGAGGGACGAAGAAAGAUACCGGCUGGCAAGCAGAUGGUAGCCUCGUUUAUUGGUUUACUCGUCGGCUCGCUGCCCCUCCGGCCAUGAAACGAGACUUUAGAACGAGUGUCGUUUCUCUUUGUAGCAGAGAGAGUGACCCGGCGACCUUCGAUUCGACGGAAAUCGAUGAAUGACGAGAAUGGAUUCAAUGACUCGAUCAAGCAGGAUACCAUCGAUGUAGAACGCGUCUUCUUACCUACCAUACAUUCAUCGAACGUUCAUUCAAGAAGUACGGGGACGAAGAGAAGACGAAGAGAGCGAUAGUGGUGGAUAUAGUAGCUGACAUUAAGAGAGUAUCUGUGUGCGUGUAUGUGUGUGAAAGAGAGUUGGAGAGAGAGAAAGAGGGAGAGAAGUAUACGUACAGAUAUACAGACGCAGCCAUCAAAUAAUGGCGUCGUGGGGGCGGAUAGCCGUUGCCGGGUCGAUAGGAGGAAGGCCCUUGACCUGCAAAACUCCGACUGCCGUCCCACCGUCGGCGUCGUUUUAACGAGGACCCUCGCUCAUUGGCUCCUCUAGACUUCUCCCUAGGGAAGGAAUCGUGAUUCACCUGCUUUUUCGAGAUCGUAAUAUUGACCGCCUUGCUGUUUAGACCAAGACUUAGUCUAGGUCUCAGGGAGCUUAAUUUGCGUUAAUCCCAAUGAGUAUUCGAGGGUGGUUUAAAAGGGAUUAACUUGGCUUGAAAAGGUGAACGAACGGAAGACAAGAUAUGACCAAGUGACCUGGAAGUGCAAGGUGCGUUACGGCACGGUAUAUAAAACGAGCCGUUCAAGAAAGAGAAAAGGAAAGAACAUGAUGGAGAAGCCGACCUUGCUACGAUCAGCUGUGUCAUCCUUGGGCCGUUAACGCUCAGGUGGUUUCGAUCUCAGGGCCGAGCAUCAAUCAUCAUUGGUAGUGCAAGGCGUGAUGUGAUUAUUGUCACUAAGAUACUCCGCUACGAUAUAACAAUCACGAAAGUGUGCCAAGUGACAUAACAGGGUUUAUCUUUAACGGUGAAUCUUAAGCAUCAAAUAAAACAGGCCUAAUAUUUUAACCUCCCAUUAUAUUCUAUUCAUUGAGAUAGGUCGGUACAGUCGAUGAGUUUCUUUUGCUCGUAGAUAAUUUAUUUUCUAAAAAUAACAAGUACUUGUCAUCUCUUAA